Molecule: long non-coding RNA, 5487 nt
Filed under: Pelobates cultripes (western spadefoot toad)
Lineage: Eukaryota; Metazoa; Chordata; Amphibia; Anura; Pelobatidae
Source: RNAcentral
GUGAUAAUCAUUUAUUAAAUAUUUGGCAGAUGACAUGACUUCAAGUUUACAGUUUCCCACAUAUGCAGGGUAUUCAUAACAUGUAUGACAUGACACUCACCUUGUAUACCUUCCAAAUAUUAUUAACAUAAUAAUACCCAGUACCACAGACACGGGAGGCCAACAGGAAACCCAGCUGUUGGUGGAAAAACUCCCAUCAUCAUUAGCCAGCCCUGACAACGGGACUUGCAGUCUUUUCCAAUCUGGAGAUCUACACCUAUUAAAGGUGUAAUACAUUUCCGAGCCUUUGACACCAAAUCCAGAAUUUAAAUUAUAAAAAUGUAUAUAUAGCAACAUUCAUCUGCAACCUCAUAGGAGCAAAAUUAUUUGUUUUUAUUUGUCACAAUGAAAGGGAUCGAGACAUUAAGGCUUGUGAUACAGCACGCCCCAUUCUGUAUUACACACAGGAUAUUCUGUAUUACACAUGGGCUAAUGAUAUAGCAAGCCCAGUUCUGUAUUACACACGGGAUAUUCUGUAUUACACAUGGGCUAAUGAUAUAGCAAGCCCAGUUCUGUAUUACACAUGGGCUAAUGAUAUAGCAAGCCCAGUUCUGUAUUACACAUGGGCUAAUGAUAUAGCAAGCCCAGUUCUGUAUUACACAUGGCCUAAUGAUAUAGCACGCCCAGUUCUGCAUUACACAUGGGCUAAUGAUAUAGCACGCCCAGUUCUGUAUUACACAUGGGCUAAUGAUAUAGCAAGCCCAGUUCUGUAUUACACAUGGGCUAAUGAUAUAGCACGCCCAGUUCUAUAUUACAUAUGGGCUAAUGAUAUAGCACGCCCAGUUCUGUAUUACACAUGGGCUAAUGAUAUAGCACGCCCAGUUCUAUAUUACAUAUGGGCUAAUGAUAUAGCACGCCCAGUUCUGUAUUACACAUGGGCUAAUGAUAUAGCACGCCCAGUUCUGUAUUACACAUGGCCUAAUGCUAUAGCAAGCCCAGUUCUGUAUUACACAUGGGCUAAUGAUAUAGCAGGCCCAGUGGUGUAACUAGAAACCACAGGGCACCGGUGCGAAAACUGCCCUGACCCCCCCGUAUGUCUACUCCUCCGCCACCCUAUCCCAUACGUCUACUGUCCCCCUCUCAUACAAACAGAUACACAUGCAGACACACACAUAUAGGUGCGCACACACACACAUACAAACACACACAGAGACAUACAUACAUAUACAUACAGACACAGACAGACAUACACACAGACACUCCAGGAGUGAUGGGCCUGGUCGCAGCUCCAACCGCGGUAGUUCCGCCACUGAGCACACCCCAUUCUGUAUUACACUUGGGCUAAUGAUAUAGCACGCCCCAUUCUGUAUUACAUACAGGAUAUUCUGUAUUACACAUAGGCUAGUGAUAUAGCACGCCCCAUUCUGUAUUACACAUGGGAUAUUCUGUAUUACUCACAGGAUAUUCUGUAAUACACAUGGGCUAAUGAUAUAGCACGCCACGUUCUGUAUUACACACAGGAUAUUCUGUAUUACACAUGGGCCAAUGAUAUAGCACGCCCCAUUCUGUAUUACACACAGGAUAUUCUGUGUUACACAUGGGAUAUUCUGUAUUACACACAGGAUAUUCUGUAAUACACAUGGGCUAAUUAUAUAGCACGCCACGUUCUGUAUUACACACAGGAUAUUCUGUAUUACACAUGGGCUAGUGAUAUAGCACGCCCCGUUCUGUAUUACACACAGGAUAUUCUGUAAUACACAUGGGCUAAUGAUAUAGCACGCCCCGUUCUGUAUUACACACAGGAUAUUCUGUAUUACACAUGGGCUAAUAAUAUAGCACGCCUUGUUCGGGAUUACACAAAGGAUAUUCUGUAUUACACUUUGGCUAGUGAUACAGCACGCCCCAUUCUGUAUUACACACAGGAUAUUCUGUAAUACACAUGGGCUAAUUAUAUAGCACGUCACGUUCUGUAUUACACACAGGAUAUUCUGUAUUACACAUGUGCUAAUGAUAUAGCACGCCCCGUUCUGUAUUACACACAGGAUAUUCUGUAUUACACAUGGGCUAAUAAUAUAGCACGCCUUGUUCUGGAUUACACAAAGGAUAUUCUGUAUUACACUUUGGCUAGUGAUAUAGCACGCCCCAUUCUGUAUUACACAUGGGAUAGUGAUAUGGCAAGUCCUAUGCUGCUUACACACGGGAUAUUCUGUAUUACACACAGGAUAUUCUGUAUUACACAUGGGCUAAUAAUAUAGCACGCCUUGUUCUGGAUUACACAAAGGAUAUUCUGGAUUACACUUUGGCUAGUGAUAUAGCACGCCCCAUUCUGUAUUACACAUGGGAUAGUGAUAUAGCAAGUCCUAUGCUGCUUACACACGGGAUAUUCUGUAUUAUACACAGGAUAUUCUGUAUUACACAUGGGCUAGUGAUAUAGCACGCCCCAUUCUGUAUUACACAUGGGAUAGUGAUAUGGCAAGUCCUAUGCUGCUUACACACGGGAUAUUCUGUAUUACACAUGGGCUAGUGAUAUAGCACGCCCCAUUCUUUCUUACACAUGGGCUUCACAUAUAGCUUAUCCCAUUCUGAUAUACAUGGAAACAUUAGCUGCCAAAACAGUCUUGGUGGAUUGCCUUACAUGUACCGUCCACAAAACAGAGACCAUUGGUAGCUGUUCAUUGAAGUGGUCCAGCCACCUUAACAAACAUAUUAUUAAGCGGAGGCUUAUAAACCAUUAAUAUGUUCAGUACUGUGCAGCCCAUUAUAAGCUUAUUUAAUGAUAGAACUGGCAUUGCAUUCGCUGUUUCUUACUCCAUAUCUCUGUAAUAAGUUUUAGAACAUGUGAUGGACCCAGGAAGUCAAGCAAGGAAACAUGUAUUCCCAGAAUACUAUAGGGUGCCCAGGCUAAUGGUAUUAUUAACACCAUGUUAACAUAUAUGUAAAAAAUCAUGAAUACAGCACUGCAAAAUGUUCCUACUGACUGAUUUAAGGUAUUCACCUAAUUCUAGAAUUAUUGAGUUGUGGCCAAUGACAAAAAGACGAUUUAAAACUCCUUAAGGUCUGGACCCUAGUCAUGCAGUGAGGGCUUGCUUUAAUCUGUUAUGAUUUCAGGAUAAUUACCCGCAGACAGAUCAUGUAGCUGGGAACGCCAAACUAUGCUUACUAGUUAAUUAGUAGGUAGAGUAAGUUAUAAAAGGGUUUUAUAUUUAGUGAUUUAUUUUUUAUUUUUUUCCAUUCAUAGUGAGACAGUCUUCACUUGUAAAUAACUAGAGACAAACAAACCUUCUGAGUAUAGAUUGAGGAACACUUCGGGUAGGUUGACAGCCGCUAGAGGCGCUUGCGUGCUUCUCACUGUGAAAAUCACAGUGAGAAGACGCCAGCGUCCAUAGGAAAACAUUGUAAGUUCUUUCCUAUGAGACUGGCUGAAUGCGCACGCAGCUCCUGCCGCGCAUGCGCAUUCACCCGAAGAGGAGCUCCCUGCCCGGCGCAGAUGAAAGAGGUAAGUUUAACCCCUUCCUCCCCCUCAGCGCCACGGGAGUGGGACCCUGAGGGUGGGGCACCCUCAGGGCACUAUAGUGGUCCUUUAAAAGUGACAUGCAAGCCCAUAGUAGAUAACAAGAGGUAAGCAUGUCCCAGGUAGGAUACCUGUAAGAUAAGUGAACACCUGGGUAGAAAGCUACAGAUGAAUGAGCCCCAAGUAAAUAGGAGGUGAGAAAGCACCACGGUAGGUUAUCAGAGACAAGUGAGCACCUAGGGAGAUAACUACAGAUGCACAAGCUCCAUGCAAACAACAAGAGGUGAAUGAGCUCUCAUAUAGAUAACUAGAUAGCCCUAGCUAAAUAGCAAGAGCCCUUGGGUAGAUAACUAGAGAUGAGUGAGCUUUGGGUAAAUAACAAGAAGUGAGCGUGCCCCAGGGUAGAGAUAAGUGAGCCCCAUAACUAACAGUAUGUGAGCCCUACUGUAGUGAUAAGCCAGUCCCUGGGUAGACAACCAGAGAUAAGUGAGCCCUCUCAUAGAUAACUGGAGAUAAUCAAGCCCCCCAUAGAUAACUGGAGACAAUUAUGCCCUCACGUAGACAGAGAUAAGUGAGCCCUCCCAUAGACAGAGAUAAUCGAGUCCUUCCACAGACAGUGAUAAGUGAGCCAUCCCGUAGACAGAGAUGUGUAAGCCCUACCAUAACAACUGGAGAUGAGUGAGAUGCUGUGUAUAACAAAAGCACAUGGAGUCACUCUCAGCAUAACCUGCUAAACAGCAGCCUAUCCGCUUACCACUCAUCCCUGAUAACCUUCUUCUGUUGUCUCCCAUCUUCUGUGCUCCAUCCUCCAAAACACUGCUCUCAUCCUCACGUACAUACAGAUCAUUUAGGUCAUUUAUGGAGCGUUCAUAUACCGAGCACCAUGGUAACGGUCGUCCCUAGUCCUAUAGUGGGUGAGACUCAUGGAGUUAUAAGUAGAGUGCUUGGGGACCAUCGUGCCCUUAGGAGACCAGGACUAAAUUCCACUGAGUGUUUAUGGGCUAAAUAUGUAUCUUUUAGCUGCCACCUAACUUCACCAGGGGCGAGGAAAGAGUAGGGGCAUCCACCCUACAGUACAAAUACCCUCUAACAUUCCACAGAUUUGCCAUGUUUAUGGUCUGUGGGGUUAGUGACUGUGUUAAGAUUCAGUUUUUGAUUUCCUCGUGGUAACUAUUCAGGGGUUCAGUGCUAGCCAGGCUGAAUUCAAUGGGAACUUUAAGUAACAUUUGAAUUGGGAAAAAUAAACAAUUUCAGAUAUUGUAAAGUACAAUUUGCAGUUUCUGUCCCCAGAGAACAAACCCACUGGUUGAAUGUUAAAUGACUUGAGCAGGUACAAGAAACAAGUCUGAAUGCAUCGUGUGAUGAAGCACACAUGGAGUUCUGUAUUGAGAGAAACGUUAUUCGGACAGUCUCCUACGUACUGUCACAUAUUAACAUAUUCUCCCCUUUUAGAAGAACCUCAAGCGGAUCACAGUGUCUCAAGCCUCUCUGAAAUCGAAGAGUAAAUUGAAGGGUGGCCAGCAACCAAGGGGUCACAUGCAUGCACGCACACACACACACACACACACACACACACUCUUGUUCAAGCGUCACCCAGGACAUGAUUGAGCAGACCCAAUAAAAUGUGCAGUAUGCUACACGGGGAACCAAUCGUGCACUUGUCAUCAGGAUGCCUGGACAAAAGCCCUUCAGUCGGAGCAGCGACUCUCCUGAUGCCUUGAUCUUGGGUCACAUCUCUGUUGGAUGGUUGAUGUGGCUGUUGAAAUGUGGCUUUAAAUUUUCAGAAGUACAACGAUGUUUUAGAAGUGUGCCUGCAGGAAAGGAAUAUGUUACAAUCACAUACCCUAAACAUCAAAAGUUCCAACAAAAUGUAGCAGCUGAAGGGUGCAAAUGGAGGUCUAAUUACUAUGAUGGGAAUACUGGAAUGAAAUAGUGUAAAAUUGGUGGACAGAUCACAGACUAUUCUGGGAAUAUACAGCUAUAGGAUGGGAUUGUAG